RNAcentral lists this ribosomal RNA (493 nucleotides) under uncultured bacterium. RNAcentral's name for it is "bacterial SSU rRNA". It matches the Rfam family "Bacterial small subunit ribosomal RNA", at positions 902 to 1396 of the family's 1533-position model. The record is from RNAcentral.
UUAAUAAAUUGGCGGGGGCGCACAAGCGGUGGAGCAUGUGGUUUAAUUCGAUGCAACGCGAAGAACCUUACCUACUCUUGACAUCCACAGAAUUCGGCAGAGAUGCCUUAGUGCCUUCGGGAACUGUGAGACAGGUGCUGCAUGGCUGACGUCAGCUCGUGUUGUGAAAUGUUGGGUUAAGUCCCGCAACAAGCGCAACCCUUAUCCUUUGUUGCCAGCACGUAAUGGUGGGAACUCAAAGGAGACUGCCGGUGAUAAACCGGAGGAAGGUGGGGAUGACGUCAAGUCAUCAUGGCCCUUACGAGUAGGGCUACACACGUGCUACAAUGGCGUAUACAAAGAGAAGCGAACUCGCGAGAGCCAGCGGACCUCAUAAAGUACGUCGUAGUCCGGAUCGGAGUCUGCAACUCGACUCCGUGAAGUCGGAAUCGCUAGUAAUCGUAGAUCAGAAUGCUACGGUGAAUACGUUCCCGGGUCUUGCACACACCGCCCG